AGAGAACCAGCCCCCUGUUCCACAAAGGACUGACAUUAGUUUCAGGACACCUGAAUCUGAAGAAUGCUUCAGCCUUUGAGCUCCAGAAAAUAAGUGCAGAGCAACUUAGACCCAUUUCUACAAGUCAAGAAUUGAGACGGAGACGGGGAGGAGUGGUUCUCACUAAACACUGAGAACAGGGCCAGUUAGAUGGCAAGGCUGUUGCUACUACAGUUGGGACGUUUCCCACUCCACGCUUCUGUUCUCCCCAGGGUCCUGUCUGACACAGAAGCUUCUGUCAGAAACGUUGCUGUCCACACCAGCGUGGAAGACAUCUGCAGAGCUCGCCUUUGGGGCUCCUGUUGGCUGAGGCUCUGAACCAUAGAACUGCAUGUAUCCAAGGGUUUCCUAAACCCUAGAUUGGAGUCAUUUGCAGCACAUAGUCUGUUGCUGCUUCAAAAGCAUAGACCCGGGAUACAUCUACAUCCAUAGCGGAGAUGGAAGUCUUGGAAACUAUAGGAUAAAGAUUGAAAAUUUUAAAAACAAACACACUGUGUUCCGGGUUAAAACUACCUGUAUUCACAAUGCUGUCUCUUUCCCUCUACAGUCUUACUGCCACCAAGCAACCGCAUCAAUCUGGGCUUAUUUUGCUGAUAAUGUACUUAAUUCCAGAUAAACUACUAGAUAGCUAUGUAUAACAAUAUUCUUUGUUAUCCAGUUUUAUGGAAACAAAAUGUCCUCCCAUCUUAGAGGAAAAUAUUGAACCUAAACUCAGAUAUUUGAAAACAGAUAAUUUAAUAAAGUGUUAAUUUGCA
This is a long non-coding RNA of Myotis lucifugus (little brown bat), 794 nucleotides long. RefSeq lists it as uncharacterized. Lineage: Eukaryota; Metazoa; Chordata; Mammalia; Chiroptera; Vespertilionidae. The transcript has 2 exons. The record is from RefSeq and is a predicted model, not a curated record.